UACGGAGGUUGCAAGCGUUAUCCGGAUUUAUUGGGUUUAAAGGGUGCGUAGGCGGAAUGAUAAGUCAGUGGUGAAAGCCUGUAGCUUAACUAUAGAAUUGCCAUUGAUACUGUCGUUCUUGAGUGCAGUUGAGGUAGGCGGAAUGUGUAAUGUAGCGGUGAAAUGCUUAGAUAUUACACAGAACACCAAUUGCGUAGGCAGCUUACUAAACUGUAACUGACGCUGAGGCACGAAAGCGUGGGGAGCAAACAGG
RNAcentral lists this ribosomal RNA (253 nucleotides) under uncultured bacterium. RNAcentral describes it as "partial 16S ribosomal RNA". It matches the Rfam family "Bacterial small subunit ribosomal RNA", at positions 524 to 776 of the family's 1533-position model. The record is from RNAcentral.